Molecule: ribosomal RNA, 420 nt
Filed under: Vibrio antiquarius
Lineage: Bacteria; Pseudomonadati; Pseudomonadota; Gammaproteobacteria; Vibrionales; Vibrionaceae
Description: partial 16S ribosomal RNA
Rfam family: Bacterial small subunit ribosomal RNA
Source: RNAcentral
GGGCGCUAACACAUGCAGUCGAGCGGAAACGAGUUAUCUGAACCUUCGGGGAACGAUAACGGCGUCGAGGGCGGACGGGUGAGUAAUGCCUAGGAAAUUGCCCUGAUGUGGGGKAUAACCAUUGGAAACGAUGGCUAAUACCGCAUGAUGCCUACGGSSAAAGAGGGGGACCUUCGGGCCUCUCGCGUCAGGAUAUGCCUWGGUGGKAUUAGCUAGKUGGUGAGGUAAGGGCUCACCAAGGSGACGAUCCCUAGCUGGYCUGAGAGGAUGAUCAGCCACACUGGAACUGAGACACGGUCCAGACUCCUACGSSAGGCAGCWGUGGGGAAUAUUGCACAAUGSGCGCAAGUCWAAMGMRGCCAUGSCGYGCGYUCGAAGMAGGCCUUCGGGUUGUAAAGCACUUUCAGUCGUGACGACAGC